Molecule: ribosomal RNA, 72 nt
Filed under: uncultured bacterium
Lineage: Bacteria
Description: partial 16S ribosomal RNA
Rfam family: Bacterial small subunit ribosomal RNA
Source: RNAcentral
GUAGGGGUUCUGAGAGGAAGGUCCCCCACAUUGGAACUGAGACACGGUCCAAACUCCUACGGGAGGCAGCAG